This 708-nucleotide ribosomal RNA is filed under the name uncultured Candidatus Nitrosopumilus sp. RNAcentral's name for it is "bacterial SSU rRNA". It matches the Rfam family "Archaeal small subunit ribosomal RNA", at positions 213 to 922 of the family's 1478-position model. The record is from RNAcentral. Lineage: Archaea; Thermoproteati; Nitrososphaerota; Nitrososphaeria; Nitrosopumilales; Nitrosopumilaceae.
UACUGCGGCCUAUCAGCUUGUUGGUGAGGUAAUGGCCCACCAAGGCGAUUACAGGUACGGGCUCUGAGAGGAGAGGCCCGGAGAUGGGUACUGAGACAAGGACCCAGGCCCUAUGGGGCGCAGCAGGCGAGAAAACUUUGCAAUGUGCGAAAGCACGACAAGGUUAAUCCGAGUGAUUUCUGCUAAAGGAAUCUUUUGUUAGUUCUAAAAAUACUAGUGAAUAAGGGGUGGGCAAGUUCUGGUGUCAGCCGCCGCGGUAAAACCAGCACCUCAAGUGGUCAGGAGGAUUAUUGGGCCUAAAGCAUCCGUAGCCUGUUCUAUAAGUUUGCGGUUAAAUCUAUACGCUCAACGUAUAGGCUGCCGUAAAUACUGUAGAGCUAGGGAGUGGGAGAGGUAGACGGUACUCGGUAGGAAGGGGUAAAAUCCUUUGAUCUAUCGAUGACCACCUGUGGCGAAGGCGGUCUACCAGAACACGUCCGACGGUGAGGGAUGAAAGCUGGGGGAGCAAACCGGAUUAGAUACCCGGGUAGUCCCAGCUGUAAACUAUGCAAACUCAGUGAUGCAUUGGCUUGUGGCCAAUGCAGUGCUGCAGGGAAGCCGUUAAGUUUGCCGCCUGGGAAGUACGUACGCAAGUAUGAAACUUAAAGGAAUUGGCGGGGGAGCACCACAAGGGGUGAAGCCUGCGGUUCAAUUGGAUUCAACGCCGGG